Long non-coding RNA from Bubalus bubalis (water buffalo), 2295 nucleotides. RefSeq lists it as uncharacterized. Lineage: Eukaryota; Metazoa; Chordata; Mammalia; Artiodactyla; Bovidae. The record is from RefSeq and is a predicted model, not a curated record. The transcript has 3 exons.
UUCCACCCAUUCUGGGCUAAGGCGUCCAGGUCUCGGGGGCUUUUCCCCCUUCUUCGGCGCGGAGUUCAAGGCCUUCGGCUUCCCCAGGAAGCUUCACCCCAGGGCGUGUGCCCAAGUGGGGACUGUGUCUUGGGAACUAGCUGAGGCUUUCCCCACUCCCUAUCCCCGAGGCUGGCAGAGAACAAGGUCAGGGGGCGGGGCCUCGAUCUCUCCAAGUUUUCCUGGCGGAGACCCGGCCAGCAUCCCAGGCUGCUGCCUGGCGGAGGCUGGGGUGGGGGCGGCGAGCCCUUCUUCCUACUUUCCUUUUGGAGUUCAGGGCUUGGAGUUACUGUGGGGCUGGAAAUAAGUCAUUCCUCCUCCUUGAACUGAUUUUUCUUGACAGGGUUGUUGUCCACCUUACAGGAUUGCUGUGAGAAUAAAAUGAAAGAUGUGAUAUCUCGAAAUGAUGUAGGUAAACCUCACCUGACCCACAGAGUUGUGGCUGUGAAACUGGGAAGAAAGUGCUGAUGUUGGAGAAGGAUCUCAUACACCACAGCGUGCUCCUCAGUAGCAUCGUUGUGAAUUCGAGAAUGGCCCAGGAGGAGAGACAGUGGGUGCCUUCAGCAAAGAAGAAAAGGGAAAAUCCCUAGGGAAGAAAGAUUGAGUGGAAGAAAGAGUGGGAGGAGGGAAGAAAAACCGAAGAAGUGAAGGAGUAAGAGAAAGAAGGAAAUACAGGAGUCUGAAUACUCAAGUCCUCUGUGGAGAACCUGGGAAGCCACAUGGCUACCUUCUCUGGGGCACAGAGGUUUGGAGGAGCCUGGGUGUUUGUGUAACGGGUGUACUUGAGGGCUUGAAGGACCAGAGACACCUAUGUCUCCUGCACUCAUUUCUUUCCCUCAGAGCUCCCCUGGUUAGGGGGGAGCUGGGAAGGUAGUACUCUCAGAGAGGGGACUGGGGGCAAAACCAAAGUGGAGAGAGCCAACAAGGACCUGUUAGAACUGGAAAGGCGGGAAGGGAAGUGAGAAGAGGGAAUAUGCAGCUCACACCCGCCCAAUGGAUGGGCAAUGUUGGAGGCACGAGCAGGCUGGAAGCGGUGUCAUCCUGACUGCCAUGAGGAAACUCAGGGCAAUUCCUUUUUCUUGUAUCAGGAACUUGCCCAAGGCAGGCCACCAAAGAAGAGCUCUUUGCCAUACCUGCUCAGGCCUUCCUCCCUGGAAAGGUAAGGACAAACCUUGGAAUGGGUAUUGAAAUGAGUUAAUUUCAUAGAUUUUCAAGUGGGAAGUACAUUUAUAUGCCUCUACCAUCCUCACAAUACAGCAGAAGUAACAAAGAGGUUAAAUGAUUCAGCCAAGGAGGUUAAGGCACUUGUGCAAGGCCACACAGUUAGGUGGUGGAGUGUGCCCUAACUUCUAUUCUUGUGCUAUGCUCAGUUUCUUAACAUCUUGUAGUUCAGUCCCUAGAUCCUUAUCCAGUGAAGGCAGAGUCUGCCUCCACCUACCACAGGCAGAAAACAUAGGCACAAUCCUGGGGCAGGGCAGAGGGGUCCCAAUACAGCUGCGGGACAAGGUCAAAGGAUCCUCAUGUCCUCCUAGUUGAGCCAGGAAUGACCUUUCAAAUGCUGGAAUUCUGUUUUUUGCCUCAGUUUUCCCAGUCCUUGAAAUUGAGUAGAUGAAUAUGAGUUAGAGGGGUGUGGAGAAGGUCAGUCUGGCUACAAUAUAGGCGUAGGAAUGGCCUCUUUUAUGAUGCAAAAAAUGGAUGUGUGGGGGCCAAGAAGAUUGUUUCAAGGUUUUGAUGGUCAUUAGGUGGCUGAUCUGAGAUUGGCCUUGAGAAUCCCUCUGCCUUAUCCACAAGGUCAGCUACAUGUCUGAGAAGAGAACUGAUCCUUCUUCUUGUGGCUUCUUUGUUCAGGGAUCCUCCUAUACCCUAGAUGCCUGCAUCCUGGGGUGUCUGAGUCUUCAUCCCUCUCUGUGUCCUUCAGGACUUAUCAGGCAUGGGGGCUACAUCCCUCCUGGGGGUAACUACCCUGGGGCACAAAAGCUGGGGAAGGGGUGCAUAGAGAUUGAAUGAGAGGUUUCUGGUUUAUUCCUUAGUCUGCCUCACUUAGCUCUGUGCUUCUUAUGCAACUCACAGUACAGGACCAUUGGCCCCAGGGGCAGGAGCAAGGUCACUACUCACCAUCUCUAUGCCAGCUUCUGCUUCCCAAGACCUCUGGGCAGGGGCUCUCGCCUUGGAGAGAGAGGAUGAGUGGGCCACCUGUGUUUUUUUUUUUAAUUAACUUUAUUUGGAUUUGCUGCACACAGGCUUUUUCUGUUUGCA